GUGAGCUUCGCCACACUCCUCCCUUCUUCCCCCACCUCGCCCUGGCGCACUCUCCCCUACGUGGAAGGGCUCAGGUAUGCAAAUAACAGAAAUGUGAAGCAAAAGAGCAAGAAAAGAGUAUAUGAUGAACUCCGAGGACAAACCAUGCCUUGUUUGUUUCCUACCCUGCGAUUUUGGCAGAGUGCCAUGUACUUCCUCGGUACUGAGUAAUCAUUUUUCAACUA
Hyaena hyaena (striped hyena) is the source of this 224-nucleotide long non-coding RNA. RefSeq lists it as uncharacterized. The record is from RefSeq and is a predicted model, not a curated record. The transcript is spliced from 3 exons. Lineage: Eukaryota; Metazoa; Chordata; Mammalia; Carnivora; Hyaenidae.